Aegilops tauschii subsp. strangulata is the source of this 3086-nucleotide non-coding RNA. The record is from RefSeq and is a predicted model, not a curated record. Lineage: Eukaryota; Viridiplantae; Streptophyta; Magnoliopsida; Poales; Poaceae.
GGGGAAGGGGAAGAGGCUACCCCGUGGUAAAUAUGAGGAGGGGAGCGGGCACAGUCAUUUCAUCUCUAUCCUCUCCACUCUCUCCAUUUUCUCCCUCUCCCAAAUCUGUACAAGUGCUUGGUGUUUCCGGAGGGGUUCUUUUGACGUUCAGAUCCGACCGCUCCUGCAAUACCAGACAGAGAGAAAGAUGGCCGAUGCUGCUGGUCAAGUGAGUCCCAGAAUUUUUGCUUGUGUUUUUUUUUUGUUUGCACACGCCCCCCAUAGAUCUGAGUGGGGCUGUAGGUUUUUUUGUAUCAAGUAAUACGGCAUAGUAGUUUCAAGUAGAGAAUCGCCCCCCAGUGUGCAGCACUUGUAUUUUUAUUAGAUCUUUUUUUUCUCAUUUUUCUUUUGUGUUCGUGUGUAUCAAGAUGCAUGCUGAAUUUUAGUGGUAUAUUUAGGGUUUGCAUGUAUGCAUAUAUGUAGAUCCCUUUUUUCUUUUUUCAUGGAUAGUUGUUUGAUUAAAGUAAUCUAGAGGAUUUUUUGUUUUUGUUUAUAGCAUUUCUAUCGUUAAGAUGUUUUGUAUUUUUGUUUUUGUGUGUCAAUAGAAUGCUGAAAAUCAUUCCCAGUGAAAGUAGAGGAUGAUGUAUCUUUUAUCACCGGAGGAAGUUGACUAGUAAUUUCAGACUUCUAGUGAUACGUUCAUAAAGGAUUUCAGUGACUAGUACUUUCAGUUGACUAGUAGUUUCAGACUUUCAGUGACUAGUAGUUUCAGACUUUCAGACUUUCAUAGCUUUUUAUACAUUUUCAUGAUAUAUAGAUGAUUGCCAUGUCCAUAGUUAAUAUUUAGAAUUUCAGUGGUACAUAACAUAGUUUCAGACUUUCAGUGGUAUGUUGGUUUUGCUGAACAUAGUUUCAGGCUUGCAGUGGUACGUUCAUACGACUGAAUAUAGUUUUAGACUUGUUGGUAUGUUCAUCUUACUGACCAUAGUUUUCAUUUUUACCAUUUUCUAUGUUCAUAGUGUCACUUCCAGUGGUAGUUAGCAUAGGCAUAUUGCUAGUGCUGUUUUAUAUCUUCAUAGCUUUUUCUUUUUUUUUUCAUUGCAUUGUUUGCUGAUUUUUGGUUGCACUUGAGACUAACACUGUAUGUCUUUGUACAUUUUUCACUUUUGUUUAGUCUUAGAGCACCUGAUCCAAAUAUGCACGUUCAAAGUUAGCACCAAGUUUGCUUGAUCAAAUCUGCUAGGAUGUAUUGUAGAUAGUCAACUAACGAUCAGUUGAUUGAUUCAAAUCCGCUAGCAGCGUAUGUGGUGUCGUCUUUCUCUUUUGUUUUCUAGAUUUUUCAAGCGCAACCCAGUUACUUCUGUGGCACUGAUUAGAACUAGCAGUAAAGCCAAGUAGCUAUAACAGAGUGAUUAGUACCUUUUUGUAUUUUUUUUACUGGAAGUAGUACUAGUAGCACCACCAAUUUCUAUGUAGGUACUUUUAGUUCAGAGUUUAGACUCAUGACCUCACAGGAGUACUUUCUGAUAUGUCGAGUAGCAAAAAAUGAAAUAUAUUAGCCUGGAUUAGCAUCGUAUUGUGAAUUAAUUUUAGUCAUAAACAUUAAAAAGCAAGAUUUUGUCAUUUGGGUGGGCAGGGAUUUUUAACUCCAGGAACCUGAUGGACCAUGUGUGAAGCUAUUUGAAAACUACUUUUUGUUUGUAUUUCCUAUUUCAGAAGAGUGUAAUCGUAACCACAUGUACAACAAUACUUUUCGUUCUCUCUUUUCCCAAAACUGAACCACUAGCCUUUUACGGCAGAAGCACUUUUUUAAUAUGUAAUUUUUUUUGGUUGUACCAUCUGGUAAGUAGUUUUUGGGCUUUUUCACAGUCAUAAAGUUGCAUGAAUACAUGGUGAAAUAUAUAUUUGUUUCUGAGAUCAAAGAAGACACUAUAAACUGUUAUUUUUAGUGAGUUAUCCAUUCUAAUUUAUUUUAUUUUUUGCUUUCUUUUUGGAUGUGCACAGGAGGUUUGUGGAGUUUGUUUCAACCAUUGCAACUAUGAGAGCAAGGGAAGUGGUUUCAGCAUGUUUGCAUGGGAGGAGUUCAACAAUGCAGGGGUAACUCACUCCUAACUUUUUGUACUAAUGUCAUCACAAUACUCAUAACUUUUGUCGUGACAUCACUCCUAACUUUUUGUAUUUUUUAUUUUAUUUUGUGUUCAAAUCAGGUUGUGCCUUGCAAUGAAAGGGUCCGUUUCAAUAAUGUGACUAGAGAGAAGGUGACUUUGUGGCAAACCAAAGGACAUACACUGUAAAGUGUUAAAAGGGUCAUACAAAGAGUGCUAUGUAUGGGAGCGGUUGGAGGAAGUUCUAUGAUGACAACAAGCUAGGGAAGGGUCAGAUGGUGGUGUUCUUCCUGGAUGAACCUUCGCCUAGGGCAGCUAUUUGUGUGAUCCAAGUGGGCAGCGGCUCCGAAGAUGAACAGCCUAUGGAAGAGGGUGAUCCCAUUGAAGCUUCAAGCGAUGAUGGUGAAGGCAUUGUUCGCAUCAGGGGGCUUCUACUUAAUGAGACAGAGUGUUUUCAGCUACAAGGGUUGCUGCCUCUCAGUGAUGAUUUCAUCGGGUUUCCUUUCGUUCACCGCCUCACAAGGACAGACAAUUGUUUGGGCAUGAUGUCACUGGAAUGUGGAUCCAGGCUCAACAUCUUUCUAGAGGCCACCCAACGGCACUGUUCGAAUUGAGACACAGAGAGAAAACGGGAGAGGAAGGAAGCCACAUCACGGGGGUGGGGUUUCCGCGGCGGAACUCGCCGGCGAUGAGAUGCUCGGCGACGCCCGUGAGGAGAUGCUCGGCGAUCCGAGCGCCCCUCCAGAGUCCUCGCGCCCUGCUGAUGAGGUGAACUGCCAAAAACAGACAAUUGAUGUUUUACAUUUUUCAUAAGAAAAUCUGGGAGUGUUUCCUUUUACUAGUUACAAGUAGAAAUAUGUGAACGGAUUAACCAUCCUCACUAGUUAGAAGUAUAUUUUUUCCUGCUUUUUUAUUGGUGCGAAUCAGGAAUCUGAGGGCAGCGUAUUAGUGCUUUUGUUUUAGCUCGACCUCGUAUUUUUUUCAAAGGUAACUAUUUUUGAA